This 253-nucleotide ribosomal RNA is filed under the name uncultured bacterium. Its description in RNAcentral is "partial 16S ribosomal RNA". It matches the Rfam family "Bacterial small subunit ribosomal RNA", at positions 524 to 776 of the family's 1533-position model. The record is from RNAcentral.
UACGAAGGGGGCUAGCGUUGCUCGGAAUCACUGGGCGUAAAGCGCACGUAGGCGGAUUGCUAAGUCAGGGGUGAAAUCCUGGAGCUCAACUCCAGAACUGCCUUUGAUACUGGCGAUCUCGAGUCCGGGAGAGGUGAGUGGAACUGCGAGUGUAGAGGUGAAAUUCGUAGAUAUUCGCAAGAACACCAGUGGCGAAGGCGGCUCACUGGCCCGGUACUGACGCUGAGGUGCGAAAGCGUGGGUAGCAAACAGG